GGCGCAACUAAGUAGUCUAAUGUUGUUCCGGUUUUGGUUCUUGUGAACGUUGACAUCGAUUCGUUCCAAAUUUACACUCUCGGGGCAAAAUAGGACAAUAUAAUUAAGUUUUACGCUUUGUUCGAUCGAAUGAGAAAAUGUACGCGUUGCAAAUUUAUACUGUUAGGGCGCAGCUGGGUAGUCUAAUGUUGUUCCGGUUUCGGUUCAUGUGAAGGUUGACAUCGAUUCGUUCCAAAUGUACACUCUUGGGGCAUAAUAGAACAAUAUAAUUAGCUUUUACACUUUGUUCAAUCGAAUGGAAAAAAAUACUCGUUGCAAAGUUAUACUGUUAGGGCGCAGCUUAGUAGUCUAAUGUUGUUCCGGUUUUGGUUCUUGUGAAGGUUGACAUCGAUUCGUUCUAAAUUUACACUCGCGGGGCAUAAUAGAACAAUAUAAUUAGCUUUUACACUUUGUUCGGUCGAAUGGGAAAAAGUACUCGUUGCAAAGUUAUACUGUUAGGGCGGAACUGAGUAGACUAUUGUUGUUCCGGUUUUGGUUCUUGUGAAGGUUGACAUCGAUUCGUUCCAAAUUUACACUCUUGGGGCAUAAUAGAACAAUAUAAUUAGUUUUUACACUUUGUUCGAUUGAUUAAGAAAAAGUACUAGUUGCAAAGUUAUACUGUUGGGGCGCAACAGAGUAGUCUAUUGUUGUUCCGGUUUUGAUUCUUGCUAAGGUUGACAUCGAUUCGUUCCAAAUUUACACUCUCGGGGCAUAAUAGAACAAUAUAAUUUGGUUUUACUCUUUGUUCGAUAGAAUAAGAAAAAGUAGUCAUUGCAAUGUUAUACUGUUAGGGCGCCACUGAAUAGUCUAAUAUUGUUCCGGUUUUGGUUCUUGUGAACGUUGACAUCGAUUCGUUCGAAAUUACAACUCUCGGGGCAUAAUUGAACAAUAUAAUUAGGUUUUACUCUUUGUUCGAUAGAAUGAGAAAAAGUACUCGUCGCAAAGUUAUACUGCUAGGGCGCAACUGAGUAGUCUAAUGUUGUUCCGAUUUUGGUUCUUGUGAACGUUGACAUCGAUUCGUUCCAAAUUUACACUCUCGGGGCACAAUUGAACAAUAUAAUUAGGUUUUACUCUUUGUUCGAUAAAAAGAGAAAAAGUACUCGUUGCAAAGUUAUACUGUUAGGGCGCAACAGAGUAGUCUAAUGUUGUUCCGGUUUUCGUUCUUGUGAACGGUGACAUCGAUUCGUUCCAAAUUUACACUCUCGGGNCUGGGAACUUGUUGUACACAAUCUCGUCGUUGUGCCUUGGGCGGACAGGGGAGGUACUGUCCGUACGGCGGUCCGCCGCCGUGCCCGAACCGAACCAAAUUGGUAUCGGCCUCGGGGCGGGGGCGUGACAGAAAAAUUACUAGUUGCAAAGUUAUACUGUUGGGGCGCAACAGAGUAGUCUAUUGUUGUUCCGGUUUUGGUUAUUGUUAAGGUUGACAUCGAUUCGUUUCAAAUUUACACUCUCGAGGCAUAAUAGAACAAUAUAAUUAGGUUUUACUCUUUGUUCGAUAGAAUGAGAAAAAGUACUCAUUGCAAAGUUAUACUGUUAGGGCGCAACCGAAUAGUCUAAUGUUGUUCCGGUUUUGGUUCUUGUGAACGCUGACAUCAAUUGGUUCGAAAUUACAACUCUCGGGGCAUAAUUGAACAAUAUAAAUUAGGUUUUACUCUUUGUUCGAUAGAAUGAGAAAAAGAACUCGUCGCAAAGUUAUACUGCUAGGGGGCAACUGAGUAGUCUAAUAUUGUUCCGGUUUUGGUUCUUGUGAACGUUGACAUCGAUUCGUUCCAAAUUUACACUCUCGGGGCAUAAUAGAACAAUACAAUUAAGUUUUACUCUUUGUUCGAUCGAAUGAGAAAAAGUACUCGUUGCAAAUUUAUAAUAUUAGGGCGCAGCUGAGUAGUCUAAUGUUGUUCCGGUUUUGGUUCUUGUGAAGGUUGACAUCGAUUCGUUCCAAAUUUACACUCUUGGGGCAUAAUAGAACAAUAUAAUUAGCUUUUACACUUUGUUCGAUCGAAUGGGAAAAAAGUACUCGUUACAAAGUUAUACUGUUAGGGCGCAACUGAGUAGUCUAUUGUUAUUCCAGUUUUGGUUCUUGUGAAGGUUGACAUCGAUUCGUUCCAAAUUUACACUCUCGGGGCAUAAUAGAACAAUAAAAUUAGCUUUUACACUUUGUUCGAUUGAAU
RNAcentral lists this long non-coding RNA (2207 nucleotides) under Ananas comosus (pineapple). RNAcentral describes it as "long non-coding RNA (ACOM_LNC029062)". The record is from RNAcentral. Lineage: Eukaryota; Viridiplantae; Streptophyta; Magnoliopsida; Poales; Bromeliaceae.